UUUAAGUGUUAAUUUGAUUUGCCUGGGUAGUAUUAGUUAAGGUCUUUAAACCCAAAGAAUUUGGCGGUAUUUUAUUCCAUUCAGAGGAACCUAUCUCGUAAUUGAUAGUACACGAUUUACUUUACUUGAUUUAUUUGUUUGUAUAUCUCCGUUAUCGGAAAAUCUUUUUGGAGUUAUAAUUUUCCUGUUUUUUUAUUAAAAAUUAUUUCAGGUCAAGGUGCAGCUUAUAAUUAAGUGUAUGAUGGGUUACAAUAAAUUUUUUUAUUAUGAAUUUAAUUUUGUAAUAUUUUAAUGAAGGUGGAUUUGAUAGUAAUUUAAUUUAUUUAAUUUAAUUGAUAUUGGCUCUAAAAUGUGU
RNAcentral lists this ribosomal RNA (355 nucleotides) under Arphia simplex. RNAcentral's name for it is "partial 12S ribosomal RNA". Lineage: Eukaryota; Metazoa; Arthropoda; Insecta; Orthoptera; Acrididae. The record is from RNAcentral.